Molecule: transfer RNA, 73 nt
Filed under: Stegodyphus mimosarum
Lineage: Eukaryota; Metazoa; Arthropoda; Arachnida; Araneae; Eresidae
Rfam family: tRNA
About the family: Transfer RNA (tRNA) molecules are approximately 80 nucleotides in length.
Source: Rfam by way of RNAcentral
GCCUGCGUGGUGUAACUGGAAGCACACUUGACUCGUAUUCGGGAGGUCCGGAGUUCGAAUCCUGGUGAGGGCA